RNAcentral lists this ribosomal RNA (635 nucleotides) under bacterium 52-L049640-122-012-D07. RNAcentral describes it as "bacterial SSU rRNA". It matches the Rfam family "Bacterial small subunit ribosomal RNA", at positions 61 to 691 of the family's 1533-position model. The record is from RNAcentral.
GUCGAGCGGUUGAGGGGAGCUUGCUUCCCGAUUCAGCGGCGGACGGGUGAGUAAUGCCUAGGAAUCUGCCUGGUAGUGGGGGACAACGUUUCGAAAGGAACGCUAAUACCGCAUACGUCCUACGGGAGAAAGCAGGGGACCUUCGGGCCUUGCGCUAUCAGAUGAGCCUAGGUCGGAUUAGCUAGUUGGUGGGGUAAAGGCUCACCAAGGCGACGAUCCGUAACUGGUCUGAGAGGAUGAUCAGUCACACUGGAACUGAGACACGGUCCAGACUCCUACGGGAGGCAGCAGUGGGGAAUAUUGGACAAUGGGCGAAAGCCUGAUCCAGCCAUGCCGCGUGUGUGAAGAAGGUCUUCGGAUUGUAAAGCACUUUAAGUUGGGAGGAAGGGCAUUAACCUAAUACGUUGGUGUUUUGACGUUACCGACAGAAUAAGCACCGGCUAACUCUGUGCCAGCAGCCGCGGUAAUACAGAGGGUGCAAGCGUUAAUCGGAAUUACUGGGCGUAAAGCGCGCGUAGGUGGUUUGUUAAGUUGAAUGUGAAAUCCCCGGGCUCAACCUGGGGACUGCAUCCAAAACUGGCAAGCUAGAGUAGGGUAGAGGGUGGUGGAAUUUCCUGUGUAGCGGUGAAAUGCGU